GUGCUUGUAGCUCAGUGGAUAGAGCAUUUGUUACUUAGCAGAAGGUCGUAGGUUCAAAUCCUACUAGGCACA
Non-coding RNA from Thalictrum thalictroides, 72 nucleotides. The record is from the annotation of a GenBank genome assembly. Lineage: Eukaryota; Viridiplantae; Streptophyta; Magnoliopsida; Ranunculales; Ranunculaceae.